Molecule: small RNA, 138 nt
Filed under: Planktothrix serta PCC 8927
Lineage: Bacteria; Bacillati; Cyanobacteriota; Cyanophyceae; Oscillatoriales; Microcoleaceae
Description: HEARO
Rfam family: HNH endonuclease-associated RNA and ORF (HEARO) RNA
Source: RNAcentral
GUCAGCACCCCGCUCUAAAGAGACGGGGCUUCAUGCCUCUGAUUUGGAUAGCUGACCAGCCUAAGCCUUAACUGGCUACGUUAUCGGGAAGCGUUAAAGUUCUUACCUUGGGAUGCGUAGCUAGUCCCAAGCUCUAAA